This 305-nucleotide ribosomal RNA is filed under the name uncultured bacterium. RNAcentral's name for it is "bacterial SSU rRNA". It matches the Rfam family "Bacterial small subunit ribosomal RNA", at positions 334 to 656 of the family's 1533-position model. The record is from RNAcentral.
UUUGCCUACGGGGCGCAGCAGUGGGGAAUAUUGCACAAUGGGGGGAACCCUGAUGCAGCGACGCCGCGUGAGUGAAGAAGUAUUUCGGUAUGUAAAGCUCUAUCAGCAGGGAAGAAAAUGACGGUACCUGACUAAGAAGCCCCGGCUAACUACGUGCCAGCAGCCGCGGUAAUACGUAGGGGGCAAGCGUUAUCCGGAUUUACUGGGUGUAAAGGGCGUGUAGGCGGGAUGGUAAGUCAGAUGUGAAAACUAUGGGCUCAACCCAUAGCCUGCAUUUGAAACUAUCGUUCUUGAGUGUUGGAGAG